UGGGGAAUAUUGCACAAUGGGCGCAAGCCUGAUGCAGCCAUGCCGCGUGUAUGAAGAAGGCCUUCGGGUUGUAAAGUACUUUCAGCGGGGAGGAAGGGAGUAAAGUUAAUACCUUUGCUCAUUGACGUUACCCGCAGAAGAAGCUCCGGCUAACUCCGUGCCAGCAGCCGCGGUAAUACGGAGGGUGCAAGCGUUAAUCGGAAUUACUGGGCGUAAAGCGCACGCAGGCGGUUUGUUAAGUCAGAUGUGAAAUCCCCGGGCUCAACCUGGGAACUGCAUCUGAUACUGGCAAGCUUGAGUCUCGUAGAGGGGGGUAGAAUUCCAGGUGUAGCGGUGAAAUGCGUAGAGAUCUGGAGGAAUACCGGUGGCGAAGGCGGCCCCCUGGACGAAGACUGACGCUCAGGUGCGAAAGCGUGGGGAGCAAACAGG
This 429-nucleotide ribosomal RNA is filed under the name Fusobacteriota bacterium. RNAcentral describes it as "Fusobacteria bacterium partial 16S ribosomal RNA". It matches the Rfam family "Bacterial small subunit ribosomal RNA", at positions 355 to 776 of the family's 1533-position model. Lineage: Bacteria; Fusobacteriati; Fusobacteriota. The record is from RNAcentral.